Mauremys reevesii (Reeves's turtle) is the source of this 2187-nucleotide long non-coding RNA. RefSeq lists it as uncharacterized. NCBI's taxonomy places the organism in Eukaryota, Metazoa, Chordata, Testudines, Geoemydidae. The record is from RefSeq and is a predicted model, not a curated record. The transcript is spliced from 8 exons.
CCGCCGGGCGGGCGGGGCUGGACAAAGCGGCGCGCGCCCUGCGCGAUGUUGUCUGAUUUCCUGAGCGUUGCGCUGCCCUCCGUCCCUUUGGUGGGGGCCGGCUGCGCCCCCACUGGGGGAGGGGCAAGGCCCUAUGCUGAGCUACCCGGGACUUGGGGGCUCCUUAGCUCUGGUCAGCCUUAUUGCGACCACAUGAGGGGCACUGAUGAAAGCUGGGUGGGAAAGAGGGGGGGAGUAGCUUUCACCCAUUGCGUCCCAAUUUUUUGUCAACAUUUGAACUUUAAACAAAAUUUAAAUGGCAAAAAAAAAAAAAAAAUCUGCUUCCCCACUUUUUUCCUCCCCAACACCUUUUCUCUCUCAAACUUUCAACCAGCAGUAGUUUUGCUGCCAUCCCCUCCCCCCGACUGCCAGGGAGCACUGUCCAUCUAACGUGGCACUCCUGGCAACCACACAAUUGCUGCUCAGCAAAGAGGUUCCCACCGUGGAUCCCUGCAGCAAGCACAGACUCCGCUCUUAUGUUCCAUCGUAAUUACUACACCCAGCUUCAGUUAAUAUAUCUGCCUUAAAAAAAAGUAGUUUUCUUCUGUUUUGUCCUAUUGUGAUAUUUUUGUGCGGGGGGGAAAUUGGAGCAAAAUUUGCUCAGCUGUUUUGAGCUAUCUGUCAGAAAUAAAUACUUUUAAAAAAAAAAUCAGAUUUUUGUAUGUAGAAACAGUUGGCUUUGAAAUAUCACUUUGGCAAACCUCUAUUCAUAGAUGAUAUGGUCAGAAGCGGCCGCAGUGGUUCUCUAGUCUGACCUGCAGAACAUAGGCUCUGAGAUUUCUCUGAAUUAAUUCUCUUUUGACUAAAUUAUAAUUUAUCAUAAAACAAUCUUAAUUUAAAAUUUUCCAGCAAUGGAGGUUCCACCACCACUCUUGCUAAGUUCUUGUAGUGGUUCCUCAGUGAAAUAGAAACAGGGUAUUACUAUUUACUUUGUAGGAGCUUGUAGAGAAUUAGGAAUCUGGGCCCCAUUGGGCACUGUGAGGUCUUGAAGGCCCCAAUCCCAUAAAUACUUUCACUUGUGUUUAACUUUAUUCAUAUGACUAGUCUCUGACAGUGGCACUAUUCUUGUGCGUAAGUGAUUGUAGGGUCAGGGCCUAUGUUUCCAUUUUUUUUAUUUUUUUUUUUGGUGCUGAAAGGGGUACAUCAAGUCAUGUAAGCCAUUUUGCUGCAUCACUUUGCAUACAAUUUCUGCUUUUGAGGGCAGAAACAUCCACUACUUCUACCCUUUGGGUUUCAGUGAAAAUAUUCCACAGAGCAGGGCUUUUUGUUUACCAUCAUAGACAAUUUAUUGUCACACAAAGGAAGCCCCAGAACAAACAUAUCCAGAACUGCUGCAGAUAUAAAUAUCUACUCAAAUUACAGAUCUGAACUAGCAGAGGGAAAAGUUAUAAACAGAAAGUCACGUAGUGUUGAUUUGAAGACUUCAAGAGAUGGAGAAUCCACCACUUCCUUUGGGUAAGGAGUCCUUUAGUACCUGGUAUUUUCUCCCCAUAAAGGAAUACUGGAAGUCAAUGUAAAGGCCUGAAGACUGAAGUGCCCUGGAAUUCUUGCUCAGUCACAAAGAACUAGGCCAAACUUUCAAGCAUGGGUCACUGAAGUUAGGUACCUAAGUGAAAGUGGCCUGAACUUCAGGACUGCUAAGCACUCACAGGUCUGACUGAAGAAUUGUGGGUGCCCAGGUACCUUUGAAAAUCAGAAUCUGUAUAAAUAAAAACAACAAAUCAAACCAGGAAAAAUAUGAGACAGACAAGGUGAGGCUCGUCAACCAUGGCAGGCAGUCCACCUAGGAGAAGAGAAUUCUGAUUGCAAACCAAGAACAGCAGGCCCUGGUCAGCUGGUUUGUAAAAGUUGUGCCACUCAUACACGCUUGAUGGGUCUUCACUGCCAAGUCCAGCGAACAGGACAAGGUGAAGCGGUGUCAAUGGUGUAGGGAUUCAGCCAGCAGAACUAGAGGGAGCCAGCAGAACUACAGUCUGACCUCCCCUCAUGAUGCCAGGACUCAUUGGUUAUGUCAAUGAGCCUCCCAGCCCAGGCCAGAGAGGAUUCCUCAGCAGACUGAUGGUGCAGCAGCAAAUUCAUUGGCCAUUUAAAAGCUUGAUAGCCUUUCAGUGAUUAAACCUUUCACUUUUACUGGUGAAAGUCAGCAAC